This 253-nucleotide ribosomal RNA is filed under the name uncultured bacterium. Its description in RNAcentral is "partial 16S ribosomal RNA". It matches the Rfam family "Bacterial small subunit ribosomal RNA", at positions 524 to 776 of the family's 1533-position model. The record is from RNAcentral.
UACAGAGGUCCCGAGCGUUGUUCGGAUUCACUGGGCGUAAAGGGUGCGUAGGCGGUCGGGUAAGUCUGACGUGAAAUCUUCAAGCUCAACUUGGAAACUGCGUCGGAUACUAUUCGGCUAGAGGAAUGGAGGGGAGACUGGAAUACUUGGUGUAGCAGUGAAAUGCGUAGAUAUCAAGUGGAACACCAGUGGCGAAGGCGAGUCUCCGGACAUUUCCUGACGCUGAGGCACGAAAGCCAGGGGAGCAAACGGG